GACGAACCGUGCGAACGUUGUUCGGAUUCACUGGGCUUAAAGGGCGCGUAGGCGGGCGGUCACGUCGGGGGUGAAAUCUUUCAGCUUAACUGGAAAAGUGCCUCCGAUACUGGCGAUCUUUGAGUCCGGGAGAGGUGAGUGGAACUCCGAGUGUAGAGGUGAAAUUCGUAGAUAUUCGGAAGAACACCAGUGGCGAAGGCGGCUCACUGGCCCGGUACUGACGCUCAGGUGCGAAAGCGUGGGGAGCAAACAGG
This 254-nucleotide ribosomal RNA is filed under the name uncultured bacterium. RNAcentral describes it as "partial 16S ribosomal RNA". It matches the Rfam family "Bacterial small subunit ribosomal RNA", at positions 524 to 776 of the family's 1533-position model. The record is from RNAcentral.